CAGUCGCCGCGGGAAUACGUAGGGUGCAAGCGUUAUCCGGAAUUAUUGGGCGUAAAGAGCUCGUAGGCGGUUUGUCACGUCUGCUGUGAAAACGCGAGGCUCAACCUCGCGCCUGCAGUGGGUACGGGCAGACUAGAGUGCGGUAGGGGAGAUUGGAAUUCCUGGUGUAGCGGUGGAAUGCGCAGAUAUCAGGAGGAACACCGAUGGCGAAGGCAGAUCUCUGGGCCGUAACUGACGCUGAGGAGCGAAAGGGUGGGGAGCAAACAGGCUUAGAUACCCGAGUAGUCCCUGUCUCUUAUAC
RNAcentral lists this ribosomal RNA (301 nucleotides) under uncultured bacterium. RNAcentral's name for it is "partial 16S ribosomal RNA". It matches the Rfam family "Bacterial small subunit ribosomal RNA", at positions 509 to 807 of the family's 1533-position model. The record is from RNAcentral.